ACGGGAGGCAGCAGUGGGGAAUAUUGCACAAUGGGCGGAAGCCUGAUGCAGCAACGCCGCGUGAGGGAUGACGGCCUUCGGGUUGUAAACCUCUUUUAGCAGGGAAGAAGCGAAAGUGACGGUACCUGCAGAAAAAGCGCCGGCUAACUACGUGCCAGCAGCCGCGGUAAUACGUAGGGCGCAAGCGUUAUCCGGAAUUAUUGGGCGUAAAGAGCUCGUAGGCGGUUUGUCGCGUCUGCUGUGAAAUCCCGAGGCUCAACCUCGGGCCUGCAGUGGGUACGGGCAGACUAGAGUGCGGUAGGGGAGAUUGGAAUUCCUGGUGUAGCGGUGGAAUGCGCAGAUAUCAGGAGGAACACCGAUGGCGAAGGCAGAUCUCUGGGCCGUAACUGACGCUGAGGAGCGAAAGGGUGGGGAGCAAACAGGCUUAGAUACCCUGGUAGUCCACCCCGUAAACGUUGGGAACUAGUUGUGGGGUCCAUUCCACGGAUUCCGUGACGCAGCUAACGCAUUAAGUUCCCCGCCUGGGGAGUACGGCCGCAAGGCUAAAACUCAAAGGAAUUGACGGGGACCCGCACAAGCGGCGGAGCAUGCGGAUUAAUUCGAUGCAACGCGAAGAACCUUACCAAGGCUUGACAUAUACGAGAACGGGCCAGAAAUGGUCAACUCUU
RNAcentral lists this ribosomal RNA (668 nucleotides) under Microbacterium natoriense. RNAcentral's name for it is "bacterial SSU rRNA". It matches the Rfam family "Bacterial small subunit ribosomal RNA", at positions 341 to 1018 of the family's 1533-position model. Lineage: Bacteria; Bacillati; Actinomycetota; Actinomycetes; Micrococcales; Microbacteriaceae. The record is from RNAcentral.